AAUAGGCUAAUUAAGAGCGUAAGGGGAAUGCCUUGGCUCUCAGAGGCGAUGAAGGACGUGAUAAGCUGCGAUAAGCUGUGGGGAGUGGCACAAACACUUUGAUCCGCAGAUUUCCGAAUGUGGUAACCCGGCAUAUUGAAGAUAUGUCACACUGUAAAGUGAGCGAACCUGGUGAACUGAAACAUCUAAGUAACCAGAGGAAUAGAAAACAAAAGUGAUUCCGCUAGUAGUGGCGAGCGAACGUGGAACAGCCUAAACCUAUGUUGUUAAGGCAAUAUAGGGGUUGUAGGACCUCAACAUUUAAUGCUAAUAGAACUAGAAUUUACUGGAAAGUAAAACCAUA
Molecule: ribosomal RNA, 343 nt
Filed under: uncultured Flavobacteriaceae bacterium
Lineage: Bacteria; Pseudomonadati; Bacteroidota; Flavobacteriia; Flavobacteriales; Flavobacteriaceae
Description: bacterial LSU rRNA
Rfam family: Bacterial large subunit ribosomal RNA
Source: RNAcentral